Molecule: transfer RNA, 74 nt
Filed under: bacterium
Lineage: Bacteria
Description: tRNA-Val
Rfam family: tRNA
About the family: Transfer RNA (tRNA) molecules are approximately 80 nucleotides in length.
Source: RNAcentral
GGACUCUUAGCUCAGUUGGUUAGAGCGUCACAUUGACAUUGUGAAGGUCAGAGGUUCGAGUCCUCUAGGGUCCA